UCCCUGGUGGUCCAGUGGUAAAGAAUCUGCCUUGCAAUGCAGGGGACACAGGUUUGAUUCCUGGCUGGGGAA
Molecule: transfer RNA, 72 nt
Filed under: Bos taurus (domestic cattle)
Lineage: Eukaryota; Metazoa; Chordata; Mammalia; Artiodactyla; Bovidae
Also listed under: 5 other names
Rfam family: tRNA
About the family: Transfer RNA (tRNA) molecules are approximately 80 nucleotides in length. Their secondary structure includes four short double-helical elements and three loops (D, anti-codon, and T loops).
Source: Rfam by way of RNAcentral